Molecule: non-coding RNA, 901 nt
Organism: Taeniopygia guttata (zebra finch)
Lineage: Eukaryota; Metazoa; Chordata; Aves; Passeriformes; Estrildidae
Source: the annotation of a RefSeq genome assembly
CUUUUCUGCAUGGCAGUGGCUGUGGCCAGAGCUCAGGUACAGCAGGAGCCGUCAUUGGAAACCACCGAAGCCACCGGCAUCAACAUCACCUGCUCGCAUCCCAAAAUCCAGACCAGCGAAACCAUCUACUGGUACCGUCAGCUCCCUGGCCGAGAACCCGAAUACCUCGCGAGCGUUCACAAAGAGUCCAGAAAGCUGCCGGGCAUUGCAGGGGAGCUGUGGGUGUCGGCAGACCGGCGCUGGAGCGCGCUGCGGCUCGGUGGGCCCCGGCGCGGGGACGCGGCCGUGUAUUACUGCGCGCUGGGCCCACGGGCAGAGGAGCCGGGGCUGCGGCCGGGCACGAACCGCCGCGGGCGGGGCCGGGCGGGGCCAGCAGGGGGCGCUGCCGCUCCGCCCGCCGGGGCCGCCUCGCCCCGCUCGGCCCGGGACCCCGGGGCGCUGCCGGCACCGGCACCGGCAAUGGCACCGGCAAUGGGACCGGCAAUGGGACCGGCACCGGCAUAGACACCAGUAUUGACAUUGACACCAGUAACCAUUGACACCCGGGAUGGCAGCUGACCAAGGAGCGGCACUGACAGGCACACAGGGGCUAAUUCAUGAAGUGCUGUCACCUCAGUGGGUCAUGACAUGAGUGGGGUUUGCAGUCAGGCUUUCUGAUGUCACAAAGGAAUCCCCAUCUCUGUCGCUGCAGAAAUGUCUCUGUUCCAUACUACAGGUGUCAUAUGAAGCAGCAUUCUCACCUGGAUGUGUAAAUCAGGUGUAUUUUCAAUGCCGCCUGAGCCUGGAAAUCACUUCUCUACAUGUUUCAUUUCCAUCCUCACUUUUCCCCAAGAACUCAUGGAUCAGCAUUCAGCACAUUCCUGAAAAAGUAGAAUAUCCGGAAAGGAAAACAAUAAAUCGG